This 1945-nucleotide ribosomal RNA is filed under the name Myxobolus ticto. RNAcentral describes it as "SSU rRNA". It matches the Rfam family "Eukaryotic small subunit ribosomal RNA". The record is from RNAcentral. Lineage: Eukaryota; Metazoa; Cnidaria; Myxozoa; Bivalvulida; Myxobolidae.
CAUGUAUGUGCCAAGUUCAAACGUAUUUAUCGUGAGACUGCGGACGGCUCAGUAUAUCAGUGAUAAUCUAUUUGAUUGUCUCUCCCAUCGGAUAACCGUGGGAAAUCUAGAGCUAAUACGUGCAGUUAAUUGGUGAGCCGAAAGGUGAGCCAAAGCAUUUAUUAGACGAAACCAUCUACUAGCUUGCCUAGUAAGGGGAAUCUAGAUAACUUUGCUGAUCGUAUGGCCUUGUGCCGGCGACAUUUCAAUUGAGUUUCUGCCCUAUCAACUUGUUGGUAAGGUAUUGGCUUACCAAGGUUGCAACGGGUAACGGGGAAUCAGGGUUCGAUUCCGGAGAGGGAGCCUGAGAAACGGCUACCACAUCCAAGGAAGGCAACAGGCGCGCAAAUUACCCAAUCUAGACAGUAGGAGGUGGCGAAGAGAAUUACUAAGUGGUGACUCUAUGAGUUACCAGCUUGGAAUGAACGUAACUUAAGAAAUUCGAUGAGAAACAACUGGAGGGCAAGUCCUGGUGCCAGCAGCCGCGGUAAUUCCAGCUCCAGUAGUCUGAUUUAAAGUUGUUGCGUUUAAAACGCUCGUAGUUGGAUCACGAAGCAGUACCGAGCCUUCGACUUGCAGACUUUCUAGGAAGGUGUUCGUUUCGUGCGACCCUGAUUAGGAACGAUGCGGUUGAAAUUCAUGCUCAGUGCUGCUAGUUGCACGUGAGAUGGAGUGUUGGCCUUAAAUGAGCCGGUAUUCCCGUCUUGCGGAGUGUGCCUUGAAUAAAACAGAGUGCUUAAAGCAGGUUUUUGCCUGAAUGUUAUAGCAUGGAACGAACAAUCGUGUAUAUGCACGCAUUUUCGACGCCGGUAGGUUUUUGACCUCCGUAUUAGGAUUUGCGUGCGGCACCCACCUAAAUAUGGCUGUUGGUUCCAUAUACGGUGAUGAUUAAAGAGCGGUUGGAGGCAUCGGUAUUGGCCGCGAGAGUGAAAUUCUUAGACCGGCCAAGGACUAACAAAUGCAAAGGCACUUGUCUAGACCGUUUCCAUUAAUCAAGAACGAAAGUGGGAGGUUCGAAGACGAUCAGAUACCGUCCUAGUUCCCACUGUAAACUAUGCGACCUGGGAUCAGUCUAAGAGAUGUUGCAGCUCUAGAUUGGUCCCCCUGGGAAACCUUAAGUUUUUCGGUUACGGGGAGAGUAUGGUCGCAAGGCUGAAACUUAAAGGAAUUGACGGAAGGGCACCACCAGGGGUGGAGCCUGCGGCUUAAUUUGACUCAACACGGGGAAACUUACCUGGUCCGGACAUCUAUGGGAUAAACAGACUAAUAGAUCUUUUUUGAUGAGAUGAGUGGUGGUGCAUGGCCGUUCUUAGUUCGUGGAGUGAUCUGUCAGCCUAAUUGCGGUAACGAACGAGACCACAGUCUCCAUUUAAGUCAUGGAAGAAGACAAAUGAUUUGACAGGUUUCGGCUUGAAAAGUCAUUUGUUGUUGGCAAACUUGACGGUCUUUUGACGAAGAUAGGGGCAACCUGAAGUUAGUUUUAAGAUUGGCGAGUUUCCCUUCCAUUUAGCAACAGUCGGUUUCUCAUCGAUUGUUGCCUUAUGGAGAGACAACGAGGUAUAAACAAGCUCGAGGAAGAGUGGCUAUAACAGGUCAGUGAUGCCCUUCGAUGUUCAGGGCUGCACGCGCGCUACAAUGAUAACGACAACAAGUAUCUGCUUCGAAAGAAGUGGGUAAACAUUAAUCGUUAUCGUGAUGGGGAUUGACCGUUGUAAUUAUCGGUCAUGAAAGAGGAAUCCCUAGUAUGCGCAUUUUAUUAGAAUGUGCAGAUUGAGUCCCUGCCCUUUGUACACACCGCCCGUCGCUACUACCGAGUGGAUUAUGUCAUGAUGCGCUGGGACUGGACGUUGGCUGGGUCUUCGGAUUCGUCCGACGCUGGGAUCAGCGUAAAAUGGCGCAAUUCGAG